This 431-nucleotide ribosomal RNA is filed under the name uncultured bacterium. RNAcentral describes it as "bacterial SSU rRNA". It matches the Rfam family "Bacterial small subunit ribosomal RNA", at positions 917 to 1349 of the family's 1533-position model. The record is from RNAcentral.
GGGCCCGCACAAGCGGUGGAGUAUGUGGUUUAAUUCGAUGCAACGCGAAGAACCUUACCAGGGUUUGACAUCCUGCGAAUCUCUUGGAAACGAGAGAGUGCCUUCGGGAACGCAGUGACAGGUGGUGCAUGGCUGUCGUCAGCUCGUGUCGUGAGAUGUUGGGUUAAGUCCCGCAACGAGCGCAACCCACGUCGUUAGUUGCCAGCAUUUAGUUGGGCACUCUAGCGAGACCGCCGGUGAUAAACCGGAGGAAGGUGUGGAUGACGUCAAGUCAUCAUGCCCCUUACAUCCUGGGCUACACACGUACUACAAUGGCAAGUACAACGAGUCGCAAUACCGCGAGGUGGAGCAAAUCUCUUAAAGCUUGUCUCAGUUCGGAUAGGAGUCUGCAACUCGACUCCUUGAAGUUGGAGUCGCUAGUAAUCGCAAAU